This 458-nucleotide ribosomal RNA is filed under the name uncultured bacterium. RNAcentral's name for it is "partial 16S ribosomal RNA". It matches the Rfam family "Bacterial small subunit ribosomal RNA", at positions 338 to 795 of the family's 1533-position model. The record is from RNAcentral.
CCUACGGGGGGCAGCAGUGAGGAAUAUUGGUCAAUGGGCGAGAGCCUGAACCAGCCAAGUCGCGUGAGGGAGUACUGCCCUAUGGGUUGUAAACCUCUUUUGUCGGGGAGCAAAAGCCGGACGUGUCCGGCUGUGAGAGUACCCGAAGAAAAAGCAUCGGCUAACUCCGUGCCAGCAGCCGCGGUAAUACGGAGGAUGCGAGCGUUAUCCGGAUUUAUUGGGUUUAAAGGGUGCGCAGGCGGAUUUUUAAGUCAGCGGUAAAAUCGUGGGGCUCAACCCCAUCCAGCCGUUGAAACUGGGGAUCUAGAGUGUGCGAGAGGUAGGCGGAAUGCGUGGUGUAGCGGUGAAAUGCAUAGAUAUCACGCAGAACCCCGAUUGCGAAGGCAGCAUACCGGUGCACAACUGACGCUCAGGCACGAAAGCGUGGGUAUCGAACAGGAUUAGAUACCCUUGUAGUC